AAUUCCCCGUCUGGCUCCGUCGCCGCGUUAAACGCGUGAGGUGCGUGAUCCUGUAACUCUUUCCUCCGCGAUCGACGAUACGAAGGGUGGGUAACUUCAUUAAUGAACAGCAUAGAGGUGUGUUGGAGAAGCUUUGCAUUACCCGAUCGUGUAUAUUCUUAAGGCAAAAGCAUAAAUGAUUUGAGAGGUAGAAUAUAGAUCUGGAUUCGAGAUAGUCGACAGACGGCAGUUAUUGUUGUAUAUUGCAGAGUCGAUUACAUCGGGAAAUCUGGAAAUCUGAUCGGCGGUCUUCUGCUGAGCGACGGAGGUGUAGUUGUGGAUUUUCACGAACCACCGUUGGAUUCCCGACGAUUUUCUAAACCUUGGGUCAUCGUCGUACUUGAUUCGUACAAGGUUAGUUUGUUGUUAGUAUGACACUAUAAUUGAAAUUGUGUAUAUUUACUGUGAUUUGCACGAUCAUGAUGUGAUAAAUUGAAGGACUGAGUGGUUUCUUAUAGUGUUGAUAGCAACAAGAAAUGUAAUUGUUCUUCUUUGCAUGAAGGAAUGUAAUUGUUGUUCUUCAUACUGAAUUCAAUUACAUGAUGAAUAUCCAUAUGGAUGAGAUUGAUGGUGGUGGUCUCUGAUUCAGUGAGGAGAACUGUGAUUGAUUGGUUGUGUGCUUGUGUAUGAUUGUGGGACUGUAGCAUUGUGUUUGAUUAUGGACUGUACCCCUUGUGUAGAAGGAUCUAUUGAUCAAAAAGUAUGGGGCGAGCGUUAGUUAGCAGAGGCUAGAUAUUAAAGCUUCCAGACCGGGAAGCAUGAAUUCUAUAUGUAAAUGCAUCCGCCAACAAUGAAAUCGAAUCCAAAUUGGGGUAGUUUCCCAGACGAUGAAUGCGUUUAUUACUUUAUUUUGUUUUGUUUGAUUUUUGGUCUAUCCAAGUUAUGUAAUUGAGGAGUAUGAGUAUAGCUUGAGGUUGAAUUUGUAUUUUACUGUAAUUGAGGAGUAUAAGUAAAGCUUGAGGUCGAGUAUGUUUGAGGUUCAGAAUCUUGUAGCAGUGGUUAGAAGGAUUGGAAGUGUAAGGAGGAAAUUUGAUAGGAAAUAUGAACUGAAGUUUGAUAUAAAGAUGUAUAUAUGACUACAGGCCAAGUUGGGAUAGAAACCCAAUAUGAUGAGACCAAGUUCUAUGUCAACCAAUGACCAUACACCUUGAGAAGCAUGACAGACUACUUGGUGGUGGAAGAGUGGUUUAGUAGUAAUGAGAACCCUUACAAAUCUGUUAUGGAUAUGGAUAGGUUUUAGCUAUGUAUGGAUAGUUACUUCUCAGUAACCAGCAACCCUUUAGGUGAAUAAGGAGUCGUGUAGCUGUCCUAGUUAGUUGAUUAAGCUCUAGUUCAGGUGUCUUAUCUAUCCUCACUCCCCUCUUAGUUUUAUACCCAAUCAAUGUUAUGACUUAAAAAGUUUGAUAGCAUCAGAGAAAUAUUGCUGAUAGGAUGAUUUUUCCAGGAAAGAAGAUGACUUGUUCUCAUAGUAUUGUCUUAUGUUUUUAAGAAUUCUGUCCAAUGUUGGAGUGAAUCUUGAAUCACAAGUUUAUAUGUCAGCUUAGUAGUAUUAACAACAAUGAUAAGUAAGGUUGAAUACUUGCCAUUGUUUCGCAUAUAUUGGAUCUGUUGGAUCUCAUUUUUGUACAAAAGAGGUCAGAGAAAGAGUGAAAUGUUAUUGAUGGUUUUGGUUCAUACAACUAAAUGUCUUUGACUGAAAGACACUUUUCCUUGGUUAUGAUGUAUAAUAUAUAGGGCCAAAACAUCCACAGAGCAUCAACUUGGCAUAUUGGCUCUGGUAUUGAACCCUGUCUGGAACCUAUAGCGUAGAGGCGGUAGAGCUACCCACCACCUAAUGUAUUGUUUGAUCCAACUCUGUAUAACUUCACAAUGUUGCUUGUUCUCCCUACUUAGCUUGUUGUUUGGUUGAUCAAGUAUCAACUGUAACAGUUUAUGAUGAUGAUCUCUUGAUAUUUGCUUUUUAAUGUUAUUGAAUGAUAGGAACUGAUUAUGCAAGAACUGAUGUUGUCAUUGAAUGCUGGGAAUUUUAGGAGCAGUUAAUGCUUUUGCACAGGUAAUGUUUUCAAGUUUUCAUGCUUCUGUUUUUUUCCACAUUAUUGAUUAUGAACUUCCUUCAAAUCGUGUUUUUUUGCUAUUGCUAUGUCAUUUACUGUUUUCUUUGCUAUGGUUAAUCCAGUAAAUAGCCCAGAUGCUAGUGUGGAGUGAAGGAAGUCUUGCCCUUUUUUGCAAAUUGUCCAUUGUUAUUGAUAAUGUAUAAUACCUGAAGGCACUGAAAUGUUUGUACAGAAAACCGAAGCGAAAGGAGGACGUGCUUGUAGGACUCCAGCUUGUAUUGCAGUUUUAGGCUUUACUCGAUGGAGUUGAAGGACUUCAAAAUCUUGUUUUAAAUGUUGUUUACCAACUCUUUUGAUACUUGAUGUGAACCCCUUGAUGAGUUGAAGGACUUUAGAAUCAUGUUGGUGAGUUGUUUGCUUGCUCUUUAGAUACUUGGUGAGGGCUGUUGAUGGAGUAUGGCUGACUGGUUUUAUGCAUUUUGGCUUUUGCAGACUUACACUUUAAAAUCACGUAUUGCGACUCACUUAACAAUUUAUGAGUAGCAACUAGCAAGCAUAGUUUUUUAAAAAAAUAAAAUAAUAGAAUCU
RNAcentral lists this long non-coding RNA (2681 nucleotides) under Fragaria vesca (wild strawberry). RNAcentral's name for it is "long non-coding RNA (FVES_LNC000179)". Lineage: Eukaryota; Viridiplantae; Streptophyta; Magnoliopsida; Rosales; Rosaceae. The record is from RNAcentral.